GUGUCAGCAGCCGCGGUAAUACGUAGGGCGCAAGCGUUGUCCGGAAUCAUUGGGCGUAAAGAGCUCGUAGGUGGUCUGUUACGUCUGCUGUGAAAUCCUAGGGCUUAACCCUGGGCCUGCAGUGGAUACGGGCAGACUAGAGGUAGGUAGGGGAGAAUGGAAUUCCCGGUGUAGCGGUGAAAUGCGCAGAUAUCGGGAGGAACACCGGUGGCGAAGGCGGUUCUCUGGGCCUUACCUGACACUGAGGAGCGAAAGCGUGGGGAGCGAACAGGAUUAGAUACCCUGGUAGUCC
This 292-nucleotide ribosomal RNA is filed under the name uncultured bacterium. RNAcentral's name for it is "partial 16S ribosomal RNA". It matches the Rfam family "Bacterial small subunit ribosomal RNA", at positions 505 to 796 of the family's 1533-position model. The record is from RNAcentral.